RNAcentral lists this ribosomal RNA (433 nucleotides) under Scolopendra sp. CES07229. RNAcentral describes it as "partial 16S ribosomal RNA". It matches the Rfam family "Bacterial large subunit ribosomal RNA", at positions 1928 to 2600 of the family's 2925-position model. Lineage: Eukaryota; Metazoa; Arthropoda; Chilopoda; Scolopendromorpha; Scolopendridae. The record is from RNAcentral.
UUGCCGCAGUAUUUUGACUGUGCGAAGGUAGCGUGAUAAUUAGGCUAUUAAUUGUAGUCUUGUAUGAAUGGCUAGACAUAAAAUCUUCUGUUUUACUUAUAUAAAUGAAUUUUAAUAAUUAGUAAAAAUGCUAAUAUGAAGUAUGAGGACGAGAAGACCCUAUUGAGUUUAAUAUGGCUGUUUUUAAAAUGGUAGUGAAAUUAAAAAAUAAGUAUAUUUGGUUGGGGCGACUUUAUUAAAAAACAAUAAAUAUUAAAUGUAAUUGUUGAUCCAUUAUUAAUGAUUAAUAGAACAAAUUACCAUAGGGAUAACAGCAUAAUUUUUUCUUAGAGUUCUUAUCGAUGAUGAAGUUUGUGACCUCGAUGUUGAAUUAAGAUACCUAAUAGGCGCAGGAGCUUAAUAAGGUAGACUGUUCGUCUAUUAAAUUCUUACG